UUAAGAAUGCCAUCAUGCAGGAUCUACACAGACUUGGGUGUACUGUAGGACCGAGGAUGAGAUUGCAGUUCAGGACCAAAGGAUUUGAAAGUUUCUUUCUUUAAAACCAGACAGAUGCAUUAUGCUGUCCAUAACAUCACCCUCACCUCCAAAUAAGCCAGAGAGGAGGUCUCCAGUUGCAGGGCUUGUCAUUCACCAAUCUCAACAGCACCUUCUGCCAGUUGUUUGAGUUUGGCUUCCCAUUCUGUCUGCGUCAUCACCAAAUCAUCUUCGUUGAUGCCACCAGCUUCAGCCUCACCUAUCUUGUGCUUCGACUCAUCACAUAUAUGGGCAGUGCAUACCCAGUUUCCGCAACCACACACACUACAAUUAAAAAAAGGGAGUGACUUGCAACUUACAGGCUGGAAGUCGUAUAAACCAAGUCUAAGACUUAAGGAGAGGAGUCGUUUUUAUUCAUGAGAAAAAAAAACAAUCCUGAUUUACACAUGAUUUGAACACAGGUCCUUAGGAUCAGAAGAGAGGACAUGAAAAGGGCAUCUUUGGCAUUAGUCACCUUCCAGGGCAGUGAGUGAGCCGGUGAGUGGAACAGUGCAGCACAACACAUUCACGUGAACACGCAACAAAUACCAAACUCAGAUGAGUAAUGCUGUAUCAUCAAGCCUCUCAAGUUCACAUCUAAACAAUAGUAUGCAUUAACAUCUACAAUGAAUUAUUCAUGUUGAGUUAUUGCAUAAAACGUUAAGGAUGUUCUGACUGUCAUAAACUAGAAAAAACUCAAUUUCAUAUUCAAAUUGCCUUUUUAUAAGUAAGUUAUUAACUUGCAAUUAAAAUUUGAAUGGAAACAUGUCUACGUCAAUAACAUACAGUUUAUUAUUCUUUCGUAUAUUGUUUUGUAUAGACAUUGGCUGGUAAUCAGUUUAAGGAUUUUAUGUAGUAAAUGUCAGCAAAACUAACUUUUUUCAAUUUGUUUCUUGUUGGAAGUAAUAUUUUUUUUUGGAUAUUUUUAUGAAUUUUUCAAAAUGUUAAUUGCUGAUGAUUGUGAUACAGUAUCAAUACACAUAUGAUAAUCCAGUAUACCUUCUUGUGCUAGGCCUUUAGUUGUAACACAACUUAUUACAGUAACUAGUAGGAUCCUUAUCAUGACUCUGAGUGGAUGACAGAAAAGGAAACAGGUUGAUAGGAUCCGAUAGUCCAUCAAGACAACUUCCUAUACUGUGGCAUACGUUCCUAUUCCAUAUUUAAGCACGUACUAAAUAUUCUUUAUGGAUGUCAUUCAUGAGGUUCUAUCCCAGAGCACUUGAAAUCUAAGCUUUUAUUGCAUGCAGUUAAAUAACUUAGCAUGUAAUAACAUUGAUAAGUUUGAACCAAAAAAAUAUCUUCAAUAUUCCGUAUGCUAAUGAAAAGUCAUCUAUAAUUUUAGUUUUUAAUCAGUAUAUUAAUAAAUAAUGUGUAUUCUGAUGUUUAUUAUUUUAGUAAUUGUCACAAAGUCAUGUAGGCCUAUGUACAAUCAGCCAAAGUUUCAAACCAUGUAUUUUUUACUGUUUGACCAAUAAAUAAAUCUUG
Molecule: long non-coding RNA, 1563 nt
Filed under: Anneissia japonica
Lineage: Eukaryota; Metazoa; Echinodermata; Crinoidea; Comatulida; Comatulidae
Description: uncharacterized LOC117124008
Source: RNAcentral